AAAGAAAUGGAACUGAUGUCCUUAACCAAGGUUCUUGAAAGAAAUGAAAGAUCCAGUUUACACCAGUGAACGAUCCAGUUGCAAUUUGAGUGAUUUUAAGAAUGAAAUGAAAAAGUCACCUUCGUUUUCAGAUCUGGGAAUGCUCCUGAGGGGAGAGAGAAUGGCAGCAUUCAAAGCGACGCAGCCAGAAACAUAGCAGCUGCAAUACAGGAAGGAAUUUGAGUUAAACUGAUGUAGAAUCAGGUGGGACUACAGGGAUUUGAUAAA
Molecule: long non-coding RNA, 267 nt
Organism: Mauremys reevesii (Reeves's turtle)
Lineage: Eukaryota; Metazoa; Chordata; Testudines; Geoemydidae
Exons: 3
Source: RefSeq, a predicted model, not a curated record